Molecule: ribosomal RNA, 257 nt
Filed under: uncultured prokaryote
Description: partial 16S ribosomal RNA
Rfam family: Bacterial small subunit ribosomal RNA
Source: RNAcentral
UACGGAGGAUCCGAGCGUUAUCCGGAUUUAUUGGGUUUAAAGGGUGCGCAGGUUGUUUGAUAAGUCAGUGGUGAAAGUCUGUCGCUUAACGGUAAGAUUGCCAUUGAUACUGUUAGACUUGAAUAUGGAUGAGGUAGGCGGAAUGUGUAGUGUAGCGGUGAAAUGCAUAGAUAUGACGAGGAACUCCUAUUGCGAAGGCAGCUUGCUGGGUCGUUACUGACGCUGAUGCUCGAAGGUGCGGGGAUCAAACAGGAUUA